GGCUCCCUCCCUCCCUCGCACACAGCGACUGGAGACGGACCCGGAGCAACGCGCUGGGAAGAGCAGAGACCACCGACAACAGCCCCGCGCUCUCCCACACACGCUCACACUCGGCGCUUUCCUCUCCACCCCCACCUCCUCCUCCUUCCACCCCCUCCACUAACACCAUCUCCUCCUCCUCUCUGCAACAAGAAAAAAAAAGCCAUUUACAGGGGGUGAUGUGCAACUAAUUAAAGGCAGACUGGCAGCGUCUGCAAAUUCUAAGGCUCCCCAAAUAAAAAGAGACUGUUGUAACAGUUGGAGGAUAAUGCAAAGGAAGACGCUGCCUGGGAAUUCACCGUCUGUGGACAUGCGCCCCAGAGAGGACUAAAGCAGCCCUCACCUUGCUCUCCCCACCCGGAUCCCCCUU
Myodes glareolus (Bank vole) is the source of this 409-nucleotide non-coding RNA. The record is from RefSeq and is a predicted model, not a curated record. Lineage: Eukaryota; Metazoa; Chordata; Mammalia; Rodentia; Cricetidae.